This 605-nucleotide ribosomal RNA is filed under the name uncultured bacterium. RNAcentral describes it as "bacterial SSU rRNA". It matches the Rfam family "Bacterial small subunit ribosomal RNA", at positions 347 to 946 of the family's 1533-position model. The record is from RNAcentral.
GGCAGCAGUGGGGAAUAUUGCGCAAUGGACGAAAGUCUGACGCAGCGACGCCGCGUGAGGGACGAAGGUCUUCGGAUCGUAAACCUCUGUCAGAAGGGAAGAAGUGUAGUGGGAGUAACUGUCUGCUACUUGACGGUACCUUCAGGGGAAGCACCGGCUAACUCCGUGCCAGCAGCCGCGGUAAUACGGAGGGUGCGAGCGUUAAUCGGAAUUACUGGGCGUAAAGCGCGCGUAGGCGGCUUUGUAAGUCAGGGGUGAAAGCCCACGGCUCAACCGUGGCAUUGCCUUUGAUACUGCAGGGCUUGAGUUCGAGAGAGGGUGGUGGAAUUCCAGGUGUAGGAGUGAAAUCCGUAGAGAUCUGGAGGAACAUCAGUGGCGAAGGCGACCACCUGGCUCGAUACUGACGCUGAGGUGCGAAAGCGUGGGUAGCAAACAGGAUUAGAUACCCUGGUAGUCCACGCUGUAAACGAUGGGUGCUAGGUGUUGGGGGUAUAUCCCUCGGUGCCGUAGCUAACGCGAUAAGCACCCCGCCUGGGGAGUACGGUCGCAAGGCUGAAACUCAAAGAAAUUGACGGGGGCCCGCACAAGCGGUGGAGUAUGUGGUU